UACGGGGGGGGCAAGCGUUGUUCGGAAUUACUGGGCGUAAAGGGCGCGUAGGCGGUUCGCUAAGUUGGAUGUGAAAACUCUGGGCUCAACCCAGAGCCUGCAUCCAAAACUGGCGGGCUAGAGUUCUGGAGGGGAUAGCGGAAUUCCUGGUGUAGCGGUGAAAUGCGCAGAUAUCAGGAAGAACACCUAUGGCGAAGGCAGCUCUCUGGGACGGUACUGACGCUGAGACGCGAAAGCGUGGGGAGCGAACAGG
This 253-nucleotide ribosomal RNA is filed under the name uncultured bacterium. RNAcentral's name for it is "partial 16S ribosomal RNA". It matches the Rfam family "Bacterial small subunit ribosomal RNA", at positions 524 to 776 of the family's 1533-position model. The record is from RNAcentral.